UGUAAAGCGCUUUCUCCUCUGGUGACGCAAUCAGCGGUUCGUAACGUUUGCCGGCGUUCUCGAAAUCUUUGACUCUGUUCUCCAAGCGAGUAUCGGCUUCGGCACGGCCCUUUGCAUCGGAGGCCAGAAUAUGAUCGCGCAGAUUGGAGCGAUGCCGGGAGGCUUGGGUUCGCAUCUCGCCAAGCAAUUGGAUGCUCGGAAGCCAGACCGUUUGAAUGUCAUGUGCUGCGGCAUUGAUCGAACGCAUCUGGAGCACGCCAAAGGCGCUGGUGAUCAUCAGCGCGACCAGCAGGAACG
Molecule: unclassified non-coding RNA, 297 nt
Filed under: Hevea brasiliensis (rubber tree)
Lineage: Eukaryota; Viridiplantae; Streptophyta; Magnoliopsida; Malpighiales; Euphorbiaceae
Source: RNAcentral